Molecule: long non-coding RNA, 1031 nt
Organism: Dromaius novaehollandiae (emu)
Lineage: Eukaryota; Metazoa; Chordata; Aves; Casuariiformes; Dromaiidae
Exons: 3
Source: RefSeq, a predicted model, not a curated record
GAUCUCGGCCAGCUUUUGUGGUGGGAUCGACCUUUUCCAGCCUUCCGGGUGAGAUCUUCCUUCUCCUCUGGCUCUCCAGGUGGGAUUUGGCUUCUUCAGCUCUCCUGGUGGGAUUCACACCUGUUCUUCCAGUUCUCCAGGUGGGAUUCCUCUCCAAUUCUCCUGGUGGGAUUCAUACUUGAUUUUUUAGGUGAUGUUUAUCUUCUUCAACUCUUCAGGUAGGAUUUACCCUCUCCAAGUUUCUGGGUAGGUUGUAUCUCCUCCAGCUUCCCAGGGGAGAUUCAGCUCCUCCAGCGCUCGUGGUGGGAUUUGGCCCCUCCAACCCUUGCGGUGGGAUUCAGCCCCAGCUUUAGACACCAAAACUCCUUCCAGCUCCCAGUACUGCCUCGUCCUUCCAGUCAGUCAUCUCUGUCGGGACUUGGUGGGCUCCUCCAUUUCCGAAGUACGUGUGGUCCCUCGGACACGUGGUCCCUUGGACACAUGAAGCCUCCAACACGUUGUCACUUCAAUGCAUCUCUAUGGACUCUCAGCCAACAAGGAUGCGAUCUACCAGCUGAGUUGCUCCCAGAUCAUGUUUUUACUUCUUCUGGUGCUCAGUCUGGCCCCGUUUUUGGUUCUUUUUGACUCCUGAGGGUGCAGAAGAGCUGCUUGGACCCUCCUAGUUGGAGCAGCUACCUUUCUCCUCCUGGCUUUGUCCCAACAAGUGACGUCCACCUCCUUGCACGUGCGUUUUCUGAGGAACGAAACGCCCUGGAGCCAUGGCUCGGUUUGACCUAGGUCACUUGGAGAAGGAGCCGGGACUUCCCAAGCCAAAAGCGGGGCAGAAAUAAUGGGUGUGAAACCUAGUCCUCUUUCCUUGCACCCCCUCCCUGGGACGGAGGUUGGAGGGGGGUUAAGGGUGUCCUCUUGGGUUGGGGUCCUCGUCCCACGUCGCGCCGCUGUAACGGGUUUCCCACCGGUUUCCUCUCUGCGUCUCCUUCCAGAAAUGAGCAGAAGCAACAAUCGUGGCUUUUCUCUGGUGGCAGCAAGAG